Molecule: long non-coding RNA, 1140 nt
Organism: Polyodon spathula (Mississippi paddlefish)
Lineage: Eukaryota; Metazoa; Chordata; Actinopteri; Acipenseriformes; Polyodontidae
Exons: 3
Source: RefSeq, a predicted model, not a curated record
UAUCUCUAGUCAAUAUCCAAUGUUUACUGUGUUGCUUUAGAGGUUGAUUGAUUUAACAGUCUAAGCUAUGCUGCAUUUGCACAUGUUGGAGGAGACCCUUGUUAAGUGCUAAACGAUUGUAUGCGUCGCCUGGAUUCUUCCCCCAACGGCUGGCGCAAGAAUUGUUUACUUCAUACAAAUGUGUUAUUCAUUAACUAGGACAAGGAGAGGUGUCAAAUGCUGAACUGACCAAAAGUAGUUAAUCUUUAACCAGACACUUUUUUUUUUUUUUUUAAUAUCCUUUAUCUACCCCAGGAACAAAAUAUUUGUUUGUUGUUAAUUGUAUGGUAGUUUGCACUGGAAUGUUGCUUGCUUGUGAAACUAUUCCACACCUUCUGUAAAGUGUGUGUCUGUGUUUGUGUUACCAUGGAAACAGACCCUUAAACUGGAAAAAAUAAAUCCUGAUAUUAGUUACAUGCAUACGUAUGAACAUGACUAAUAUGUUUUUCAUAUUAGACUCCUUCCUGCAUCAUCACCUCCAGUUUGUAGAGUACCUCUUAAUGUCGGCAGCUGCCAUAUUUAUCACUAAUUACAACAAGCCCUUUUUCAAUUCGAAAAAAAAGAAAAAAAAAGAAAAAAAAACGAGGUUCACACCAGUAACAGAAGAAUUUGAACAACGUUUUUAAAAGAGCAAGAAAAUGAAAGUGCAAGAAGAUAACAUCUACUGACAUAAACCCCACAACGUAGUAUUCGCUUUCAGUGGGAGCAGUGAGAGAAUUUUACCAGAUACCUGAAAAAAAAGAGUUCUCUCCAAAGCAAUGCUAGCAGAGUUGUGCCAACAUAAUGCAGCAUUUUCUAUAUCAGCAUGUCGCAGCUUAAACAAACUAAAGAAACUAUCUCAGCCACACAAAAACAGCUUAAGAAAGCUGGUCACUGAAAGGCUUUGUGAAAACUGAGGACAAGUGAACCAUAUAUGCCGGAUACUCUUCACAGUUUCUUCCCAUCCUCUGUUUUCAGUGUGUGGUUCCAGGAUACAAGCAAGUUCGUAAAAAAAAGUAUUAGCCUCCGUGACGUCUUCAACUGAGGUGAGUGAAAUGCCAAGAGUGGAGAGGAGAUUACAAUACCACAUCUUUUCCAUCUUUUUCAUCUUUUUCAGUGGUC